This 956-nucleotide ribosomal RNA is filed under the name uncultured bacterium. RNAcentral's name for it is "bacterial SSU rRNA". It matches the Rfam family "Bacterial small subunit ribosomal RNA", at positions 8 to 933 of the family's 1533-position model. The record is from RNAcentral.
AGAGUUUGAUCAUGGCUCAGAACGAACGCUGGCGGCGUGCCUGAGACAUGCAAGUCGUGGGAGAAAGUCGGAGCAAUCCGGCUAGUAAACCGGCGCACGGGUGAGUAACACGUGGACAACCUGCCCUGGAGACUGGGAUAACCCGUCGAAAGACGGACUAAUACCGGAUAAGACCACGAGGGGUUCGCCCCUUGGGGUAAAAGGUGGCCUCUGCUCCUGCAAGCUAUUACUUCAAGAAGGGUCCGCGUCCUAUCAGCUAGUUGGUGAGGUGACGGCUCACCAAGGCAAAGACGGGUAGCUGGUCUGAGAGGAUGGUCAGCCACACUGGGACUGAGACACGGCCCAGAGUCCUACGGGAUGCAGCAGUCAGGAAUAUUGCGCAAUGGAGGAAACUCUGACGCAGCGACGCCGCGUGGGUGAUGAAGGCCUUCGGGUCGUAAAGCCCUGUCGGAGGGGAAGAAAAGCCUGCUGGCUAAUAUCCAGCGGGCCUUUGACGGUACCCUCAAAGGAAGCACCGGCUAACUCCGUGCCAGCAGCCGCGGUAAGACGGAGGGUGCAAGCGUUGUUCGGAUUGACUGGGCGUAAAGGGCGUGUAGGCGGUUGCCCAAGUCCGAUGUGAAAGCCCGGGGCUUAGCCUCGGAAGUGCAUCGGAAACUAGGCAGCUGGGGCGCGAUAGAGGAGGGUAGAAUUCCUGGUGUAGCGGUGAAAUGCGUAGAUAUCAGGAGGAAUACCGGCGGCGAAGGCGGCCCUCUGGAUCGUUGCUGACGCUGAGACGCGAAAGCGUGGGGAGCAAACAGGAUUAGAUACCCUGGUAGUCCACGCUGUAAACGAUGGGUACUAGGUGUUCGGGGUAUUGACCCCCUGAGUGCCGCAGUUAACGCAUUAAGUACCCCGCCUGGGGACUACGGCGCAGGUUUAAAACUCAAAGGAAUUGACGGGGGCCCCGCACAAGCGUG